AGCAUCUAAGUGGGAAGCCCACCCCAAGAUGAGCACUCCCGCUUCUUCGGAAGCCUGAAGGGCCGUGGUAGAUCACCACGUCGAUAGGCGGCAGGUGUAAGCGGUGUAAGCCGCGAGCCGAGCCGUACUAAUUGCCCGUGUGGCUUGACUG
Molecule: ribosomal RNA, 151 nt
Filed under: Gemmatimonadota bacterium
Lineage: Bacteria; Pseudomonadati; Gemmatimonadota
Description: Gemmatimonadetes bacterium (marine metagenome) partial 23S ribosomal RNA
Rfam family: Bacterial large subunit ribosomal RNA
Source: RNAcentral